Molecule: ribosomal RNA, 509 nt
Filed under: uncultured bacterium
Lineage: Bacteria
Description: partial 16S ribosomal RNA
Rfam family: Bacterial small subunit ribosomal RNA
Source: RNAcentral
AUUGAACGCUGGCGGCAUGCCUAACACAUGCAAGUCGAACGGCAGCACAAUAUGUAGCAAUACAUAUGGGUGGCGAGUGGCGGACGGGUGCGUAAUGUGUAGGGAUCUGCCCUGAAGUGGGGGACAACCCGGGGAAACUCGGGCUAAUACCGCAUAAUACUCUACGGAGGAAAUCUGGCUACGCAAGUAGCUGGGGCUUCAGGAUGAACCUACAUCCGAUUAGCUAGUUGGUGUGGUAAUGGCUCACCAAGGCGAUGAUCGGUAGCUGGUCUGAGAGGAUGACCAGCCACACUGGGACUGAGACACGGCCCAGACUCCUACGGGAGGCAGCAGUGGGGAAUAUUGGACAAUGGGGGAAACCCUGAUCCAGCAAUGCCGCGUGGGUGAAGAAGGCCUUCGGGUUGUAAAGCCCUUUAGGCGGGGAAGAAGGUUUUAGGGUGAUAAGCCUUAAAAUUUGACGGUACCCGCAGAAUAAGCACCGGCUAACUCUGUGCCAGCCGCCGCCGUAA